ACAAACAACGCGAAACAGCCUCUGAAGGGGUGAAGCACACUCGGGUAAAUUGAUAAUAGUAAUUAUAGGAAGCCCGCUCGCCCUGCGCCUCCCCCCCUCCUCUUUGGAGUUCAUCGAGGCACUGUCUCUUCCUCCCCCCACCUCCGCCCCCGAAUUGAGAUUUCCCAUUUUACGCAGCCCUAAGAAAUAUAAUUAUAAGCCUCUUUGGACACUGCCCCCCCCCCGCACCACCACUUCGACAGUAUUGACUUAAAUAUCUCCCCCCACUCCACUCACACCAUGCUCCCCCACACUGGUUCCCUUAAAUAGUUCCAGCAGAAAAAAAAACAUGUUUUCUUUUUCCCCCUCAAGAAAGGAAAGAGAAAGUCCAACCACUACGGCAAUACUUUUAAGCUCUACUAAAGGAUCCUAUCCUUUCUGGCUUCGAAAGUUUUGUACCUAAAAAUUGAGAGAGGCGUUGCAUUUUUUUUCAGCUGAAACUGUCAAAACUUGGAGAAGGGGAACCGCGGAGGCAGGCAAGAGAGGAAAAUCCUGAAACUCAGCGGAGGUUGGGAAGAUGCUGUGCCUCCAGGAUUAGUUUAAACAGGGGGCUAUAAAAGAUGUAACAGAUGCAAACUGUAACACAAGGGCCGUUAACCCUUUCCCUGCCGACGAGCACGCUCGGUCCCGUGCCCCGCACCCAUUGUCUCCUGUGCUAGAUGCUUUGCGGAAAACCUGGAAAACGGUUGGGGGAAAAUCUUGAAACAAGGAAAUGGUCACACAAGUGCCUGGGAUGAAACAGCUGGCCUGUCUGUAUCAGGGCUGAGACUUACACACGAUUGCAUAUAAAUACACCCUUCUCACUUCAGGCUCACAGCCUCCCUCGAAGUGAGAAAAUUAGGAAAGGAGGACGGGGACGAGCACACCCAAAAAGGAUCAAAAGAGAAAAAAAAGGGGGAAAACCUACCUGCGAAGUCUUGUUUGUAGUUUUGGCCAGAAAUGGUGAGAAGAAAAAGCAUGAAGAAGCCGCGAAGUGUGGGGGAGAAAAAGGUGGAAGCGAAGAAGCAGCUCCCGGAGCAAACUGUGCGAAACCUCCCCAAGAGUGUCGGGAGGGAGGCAGGACCGUUAUUCCUGCGGAGCAGGAGAGACCCUGAAACACGCGCCACCUAUCUUUGUGGGGAGGGAUAAUCGAAGCGCCCCGAGCGUGAGCAUCAUGUGAAAACGUGAUCGCCAAGUUUCUCUCUGGGAAAGGGUCUGGGAUAGAUUAUACCUUGAAGUCUCCGCAAACGCUUUAGUGGAAGAAAUGAAAUUCCACCUCCCUCCCUUCCUCUCUC
Molecule: non-coding RNA, 1313 nt
Organism: Heterocephalus glaber (naked mole-rat)
Lineage: Eukaryota; Metazoa; Chordata; Mammalia; Rodentia; Bathyergidae
Source: RefSeq, a predicted model, not a curated record